Molecule: small RNA, 3588 nt
Filed under: Pan troglodytes (chimpanzee)
Lineage: Eukaryota; Metazoa; Chordata; Mammalia; Primates; Hominidae
Description: retained intron
Source: RNAcentral
CGCUUACAUCUCCAGAGAAAUCCUGAGGGGACUGGCACAUCUUCACAUUCAUCAUGUGAUUCACCGGGAUAUCAAGGGCCAGAAUGUGUUGCUGACUGAGAAUGCAGAGGUGAAACUUGUUGACUUUGGUGUGAGUGCUCAGCUGGACAGGACUGUGGGGCGGAGAAAUACGUUCAUAGGCACUCCCUACUGGAUGGCUCCUGAGGUCAUCGCCUGUGAUGAGAACCCAGAUGCCACCUAUGAUUACAGAAGUGAUCUUUGGUCUUGUGGCAUUACAGCCAUUGAGAUGGCAGAAGGUGCUCCCCCUCUCUGUGACAUGCAUCCAAUGAGAGCACUGUUUCUCAUUCCCAGAAACCCUCCUCCCCGGCUGAAGUCAAAAAAAUGGUCGAAGAAAUUUUUUAGUUUUAUAGAAGGGUGCCUGGUGAAGAAUUACAUGCAGCGGCCCUCUACAGAGCAGCUUUUGAAACAUCCUUUUAUAAGGGAUCAGCCAAAUGAAAGGCAAGUUAGAAUCCAGCUUAAGGAUCAUAUAGAUCGCACCAGGAAGAAGAGAGGCGAGAAAGAUGAAACUGAGUAUGAGUACAGUGGGAGUGAGGAAGAAGAGGAGGAAGUGCCUGAACAGGAAGGAGAGCCAAGUUCCAUUGUGAACGUGCCUGGUGAGUCUACUCUUCGUCGAGAUUUCCUGAGACUGCAGCAGGAGAACAAGGAACGUUCCGAGGCUCUUCGGAGACAACAGUUACUACAGGAGCAACAGCUCCGGGAGCAGGAAGAAUAUAAAAGGCAACUGCUGGCAGAGAGACAGAAGCGGAUUGAGCAGCAGAAAGAACAGAGGCGACGGCUAGAAGAGCAACAAAGGAGAGAGCGUGAAGCUAGAAGGCAGCAGGAACGUGAACAGCGAAGGAGAGAACAAGAAGAAAAGAGGCGUCUAGAGGAGUUGGAGAGAAGGCGCAAAGAAGAAGAGGAGAGGAGACGGGCAGAAGAAGAAAAGAGGAGAGUUGAAAGAGAACAGGAGUAUAUCAGGCGACAGCUAGAAGAGGAGCAGCGGCACUUGGAAGUCCUUCAGCAGCAGCUGCUCCAGGAGCAGGCCAUGUUACUGCAUGACCAUAGGAGGCCGCACCCGCAGCACUCGCAGCAGCCGCCACCACCGCAGCAGGAAAGGAGCAAGCCAAGCUUCCAUGCUCCCGAGCCCAAAGCCCACUACGAGCCUGCUGACCGAGCGCGAGAGGUAUCCUCUUUCCUUUGUCACUUAGACAUUGCCCUGGAAAGUCGUAUAACGACUCUUCAGAACUGUGUCAUAUGAGUUCUAGAACGGGCCAUAGAGGUUAGCUAAUUAUCUGGUUUCUUCAUUUUCUAACUAGGAAAUUGAAUUUCAGAGGAGUGGAGGGCCUUGCCCAAGGUUUCAUAUCCAGUCAGUGCUUUUUCCAUAAAGGACCAGAGUGCCUCAGUUAACAUAUCCCAGAAGAACUUGAAACUGAACUAAACAAAAAGAUUACAUGACACAGUCACUCUUAAAAAUGUGGAUGAGGGAAAGAGUGGUCUGAUGAACUAUUCUGCCAAGCUAGUAUAAAGCUAAAGUGUGCCUGUGGCUCAACUUUCUGACUUUGCAGAUGUCAAGAUGCCCUGCUAGAUUGGUGCGUUAGGGUUACCCAGAGCCUCAGAGUAGGCUGCGGCAGGGACUGCUUGGGGGUGCAAGAUGGGCGACAGGUGUGCCUCCAGAGGUGUUGAAUCCCGGCCCACAGGUGGCAGCAGCCUUCUAUUGUGUCUGCCCUCACAGGCAAUAGAUUCUAGAAACAAGUGUUCUGUUUGUUCUGGAGUGCUUUUAUAUUUGGUGGAGUGAAAUGCAUUCCGGAUUUCUGAUGAUAGUUUUUUAGUCUGUUGGUUUAGUUGCUUGUGACAGAUUAAUUUUUUUCUACUUUAUCAUCAUAUACAGUCUUAGAAUUCUGAGCUUAGAGACUGCCUUGCUAAUUUUUAUCUUCAUAAAUAUUUUCUUUUUCCUGAAUCUAAUCCUAGCACUGCUUUAUGUACCUUCUUUUUUCCAGCUACCCCUCUCUUUUCUGGUAGCAGAAGAAAACAGAAAACUUACCUUUAGAUUUCUUCCACUUUUAGACUUUCUUUGAUAUUUCUGCUUUUCCCCUACUAACACUGAGUUAUGUCUUCUAAUUCUCUGAUGCAGGUGGAAGAUAGAUUUAGGAAAACUAACCACAGCUCCCCUGAAGCCCAGUCUAAGCAGACAGGCAGAGUAUUGGAGCCACCAGUGCCUUCCCGAUCAGAGUCUUUUUCCAAUGGCAACUCCGAGUCUGUGCAUCCCGCCCUGCAGAGACCAGCGGAGCCACAGGUAGCGACAGCUAGCUUUGCUGUGGUUGAGGAGACUCAUGCAACGGCUCGCUGAGCCGCAGGCCUGCUGUAAUAUCACAGUUUAGUUUGUCACCACACUGAAAAAGAGGAGAGAUUAGCAGGAGUGAGUUUAGACUAAAAGAAGGCAUAGACUCAGUUGAUAGGGAAAUACCUUUUUCUUUCUUUUUGAGAUUUCUGUGUACUCAUUAAGAGUAUCUAGAGUGAGUGAUUUCUUAUAACUUUUUGCCUUGCCUAACUCAGGUGUUAAGUGCCUCCUUUUUCUGAUACAAAGAUCUUUUAGUUUAGUUUUUAGAGAACUGGGAUUAUAAAUACAUAGAGGGAGAGCCAGAAAUUUUCUUUGAAGUAUUUUAAAAGUAAGUGCUUUACUGUGUGAGCCCUGGGUCUUGGCCAGUCCUAUGAAUGGGCCUUAGAUGAUGCCCCUGAAAUUGCAUGCAAAAUGUCUUUAUUUGCUCAAAUGUGUAUUUUUUGUGGGGGUGGGGGGAAUGACCUUUUAUCAGAUUCUCACAGGGUUCAAGAUCCAAAAAAGUUUAGAUCUAGUGGGUUAGGUGUGGAUUUCUCUGAAAUAGGCCAGGGAAAAGGCUGUGACCUCUCCUUGGGUCUGCUGCAGCAUUCUAGCCUUGGCUAGGUGAGGGGAACUGUUGGGCUGAUGCUGUAUGGCUGGAGCAGAACCCACAGUGCUAUCCAUAGAGGAGAACAGGCAACGAAGAUCAUGGCUAAAGAUCUUAGAGGUCCUUAAAAUGCCGAUUCCUAAUCUCUUGCUGAAAAUUACUGACUUUUAGAUAUUUUCCCACUUGCCACUCUGUAAUCCAGAAUAUUAGGAACAAGUUCUUAAACUCGAGUUUACUUUUCACUGGUGUUUGCAUGUGUGGGGGACAAAAGUUUAUGUUCUUGUGGCAGGAAACUGUGGGAUCUGCAGCAUGGAGGAGUUAAAAAAAAAAAAAAAAAAGGGCUGGGGCACAGUGGCACGUGCCUGAAAUCCCAGCACUUUGGGAGGCCGAGGCAGGCAGAUCACCUGAGGUCAGGAGUUCGAGACCAGCCUGGCCAACCUGGCAAAACCCCAUUUCUGCUAAAAAUAUAAAAAUCAGCCGGGCGUGGUGGCAGGCACCUGUAAUCCCAGCUACUCAGGAGGCUGAGGCAGCAGAAUAACUUGAACCCAGGAGUGGAGGUUGCAGCUUGCAGUGAGCUGAGAUAGUGCUACUGCAUGCCAGCCUGAGUGACAGAGUGAGACUCCAUCUU